CCUACGGGUGGCUGCAGUGGGGAAUAUUGGACAAUGGGGGAAACCCUGAUCCAGCAAUGCCGCGUGUGUGAAGAAGGCCUGCGGGUUGUAAAGCACUUUCGGCGGGAAAGAAAAGUCGCGCGUUAAUACCGUGCGGCCUUGACGUUACCCGCAAAAGAAGCACCGGCUAACUCCGUGCCAGCAGCCGCGGUAAUACGGAGGGUGCGAGCGUUAAUCGGAAUUACUGGGCGUAAAGCGCACGUAGGCGGGCAAUUAAGUCGGAUGUGAAAUCCCCGGGCUUAACCUGGGAACUGCAUCCGAUACUGGUUGCCUAGAGUAUGGAAGAGGGAAGCGGAAUUCCAGGUGUAGCGGUGAAAUGCGUAGAUAUCUGGAGGAACAUCAGUGGCGAAGGCGGCUUCCUGGUCCAAUACUGACGCUGAGGUGCGAAGGCGUGGGGAGCAAACAGGAUUAGAUACCCUGGUAGUC
RNAcentral lists this ribosomal RNA (465 nucleotides) under Vreelandella stevensii. Its description in RNAcentral is "partial 16S ribosomal RNA". It matches the Rfam family "Bacterial small subunit ribosomal RNA", at positions 338 to 795 of the family's 1533-position model. The record is from RNAcentral. Lineage: Bacteria; Pseudomonadati; Pseudomonadota; Gammaproteobacteria; Oceanospirillales; Halomonadaceae.